GGACUACCAGGGUAUCUAAUCCCGUUUGCUCCCCUGGCUUUCGUGCCUCAGUGUCAGGAAUUGUCUAGGGACUCGCCUUCGCCACUGGUGUUCCGCUCGAUAUCUACGCAUUUCACUGCUACACCGAGCAUUCCAGUCCCCCCUCCAAUCCUCAAGCUGGAUAGUAUUCAAUGCCAUUUCCGGGUUAAGCCCGGAGAUUUCACAUCAAACUUACCCAACCACCUACGCACCCUUUACGCCCAGUAAAUCCGAACAACGCUUGGGACCUCUGUAUUACCGCGGCGGCUGGCAC
RNAcentral lists this ribosomal RNA (292 nucleotides) under uncultured bacterium. RNAcentral describes it as "partial 16S ribosomal RNA". The record is from RNAcentral. RNAcentral also lists the same sequence under 1 other name.